GGGAAUGUGGCUUAGUAGUGUAGUGUUUGCCUGUCAUGCAUAAGACCUGGGUUCAAUUCCUCAGUACCA
This 69-nucleotide transfer RNA is filed under the name Dipodomys ordii (Ord's kangaroo rat). It matches the Rfam family "tRNA". From Rfam's summary of the family: Transfer RNA (tRNA) molecules are approximately 80 nucleotides in length. The record is from Rfam by way of RNAcentral. Lineage: Eukaryota; Metazoa; Chordata; Mammalia; Rodentia; Heteromyidae.